GAAGACUGAAAAUUGAAGUGUCGCACAGAAGAAAAGUCAAACAGCUUUGGAAUGACAUGAAGGAUUCCUCAUUUCACAGUCCUGAACUCCAAUGAAUCGAAACCUCAAACAAAGUGAGAGAAAAUGAGAGGGAGAAUGAGACCGAUCCCAUUUUUUUCCGCUUGCAUACUGCGUUUGGUCAUCGAUUGCCACCGCAGCACUGACAGCAUGCAGCCUCCACACACAGUAGCUGGAUAUAUUAGUCAGAUGUGCCAUUGUCUCAUCAGGUCUCAUUCAUCUGUCACCUGCUUCACACCUUACACCUACGCCAGUAACAACUGUUAUUUUUGUUCAUUUUCGUAACUGAGUGAAAACUCCAUCAAUCUCACAUUUUAAACAAUGACGGUUACAUAAAAGUCUUUCUUAGAAACAUAGUAAAGAUGUAAAAGGAACUCAAAAUGUCAUGGUAAGAAUUACAAAGACUUGCAACACUCUU
Molecule: long non-coding RNA, 475 nt
Organism: Carassius carassius (crucian carp)
Lineage: Eukaryota; Metazoa; Chordata; Actinopteri; Cypriniformes; Cyprinidae
Exons: 3
Source: RefSeq, a predicted model, not a curated record